RNAcentral lists this long non-coding RNA (4618 nucleotides) under Marmota monax (woodchuck). Lineage: Eukaryota; Metazoa; Chordata; Mammalia; Rodentia; Sciuridae. The record is from RNAcentral.
CUCUGUUAUUCCCUCUGAUAGCAGAUGAGCUUUCAAGUCAAUAGGCUUAGUUGGUUCACAUGUCCUUUUUCAAACCAUGCCAACUACAGCAGUGUAAUUAUCCAAGUGCUUUAUGUAAUUACCUAAUUUUAUUUGAUUAGCAUUUCACUUCCUUUUACUUAGAUUCAGUUAAUUGUCUGGGAUGGAUUAAGGAUCUAAUAAUCCUGUGAACACACUUUUAGGGGAGUUGACUAUCAAUCUCGCUCUCUCAGUUAAGCUUCUCUCAUUGUUUCCUGCAAUUUAUAAGUUUUAAAAUAUAAGACGAUACUGUCAGGUAUUAUCCUCAUGGUUUUGUUCCUUCUAAUCUCUUCAUUCUCUUUUUGGACUGAAGGAUAUGAAUCCAUAAUUUGGGGAAAGGAUUUUAAUGAUUCCAAGGAAUGGACCUUGGAAAGUGAUUAUUACUCAACCUGAUAAAAUUGUUCUUAACAUCAUCCCAAAACAGACAAAAAGACCAGAAACUUGGAUGGAAGUGGGGUCAUCAGAGCUUAAGUCUGAAAGUUCUAUGAUCCGCCCUGCUGCAGACUAGUUCCUGAGGAUGAGCUCUCUCUCUCCCUUUCACCCAGCAGGUGAGUGUGAGCUUCUCAGGGAGGAUGUGAUAAGCCCAAUGCUGUGUGCAUUCUGGCCCCAAAGCAGUAGGUUAUGAUUGGCUCUGUGUGUGGACUGCAGGCAGCUAUAUUUAAAAGUAGAUUAUUGGAAACAUUUGGACCCAAAAAAUUGUGUCCAGGGCCUGGAAGAUGGUGUUAUAAAGUCAAGGAGCUAUCAUCCCAAAGUGCUCAUGGCCAGAACAAGGGAAAUCCAUAGCCAUGAAUUUAGAGAAGGCACGCAAUAUGUUCUCAUUCCUCUGAACAUAAUCAGUUAAAAAAAAUAUAUAACUGAGAUCUAAAUAUGAAAUGACGAAGCAAUAUCAAAAGUUGAAAUUUUCUUAACAAUGAAUAUAUAGAAUAUCCUGGAUCAGACAGAAUGGAGGAUCAAGGUUAAAAUAAAAUGUAUAAAUUGCUUUUGGGCCCACCUGCUACACUUUGCCGGCUCCUGCAGCAGCAACCGUCUAUGUCACUAUAGUUGUCCCCAUCGCCCUUGCAGUGCGCCCCUCAGAACCAGCACCUCACCUUGCCCAACAUCAUGCUCUUCAGCAGCAGCUCACACCAGGACCUGUCCCAGCAUGGCUGACCUCUUUGGCCUGUAGCUAGGCAUGGUGGUCACCAAGAAGUUCAGUAUCCGGGAGACCAUCAUUGAGUUUGGUGAAAUGUGAGAGGGGAAGAUGUCUAUGUCAUCCAGAGUGGCUGUGGAGCAAUCAAUGACAACCUGAUGGAACUGCUCAUCAUGAUCAAUGCCUGCAAGACUGCCUCAUCAUCCAGGUGACCGCAGUGAUCCGGUGUUUUCCAUAUGCCUGACAAGAUAAAAAGGACAAGAGUCAUGCUCCAAUUUCUGCAAAACUUGUGGCUAACAUGCUCUCGGUUGCUGGGGCUGAUCACAUCAUCACCAUGGAUCUGCAUGCCUCUCAGAUACAGGGAUUCCUAUAUAUUCCUGUGGAUAACUUAUACAUGGAGCCUGUGGUUCUGCAAUGGAUUCGGAGAACAUCACUGAGUAGAAGAACUGUACCAUGGUUUCACUGGAUGCAGGGGGAGCCAAGAGGGUCACACCAAUUGCAGACAGGUUGAAUGUGGAUUUGCUUUGAUUCUGUUGGGGGAUGUGAAGGACUGUGUGGCCAUCCUCAUGGGUGACAUGGCUGACACAUGUGGUACCAUCUGCCAUGCUGCUGAUAAACUACUCUCAGCUAGAGCCACCAAAGUGUAUGCUAUCCUCACUCACGGGAUCUUCUCUGGGCCAGCUAUAUCCAGAAUCAGUAAUGCUUCCUUUGAGGCUGUUGUCACAAACACAAUUCUGCAAGAGGACAAAAUGAAACACUGCUCCAAGAUUCAGAUGAUUGACAUUUCAAUGAUCCUGGCUGAGAUGAUCUGAAGGAUGAGAAUAUCUGAAGGACAAUGGAGAAUCUAUUUCUUAUUUGUUCAGCCAUGUGCCACUGUAAAUGCAAAGUGAGAAGUGUGGAGCAGACCUCCUCAGACUUCUCACUUGAUUUAUUUGCUUUUUUAGGACUAAGCAAUGGUAGGCUAAUCACUGGCAAAGGCAUCAGAUAUUUGUAUACUCUGAGAUACAUUAUUUCCUCUUCUGAAGCCCAAGACUAUUUCUUUCUGGUUUAUUGGGGGAAAGGUGGUGGUUAUUUGUUACUUAAGUGAACCAUCUUAAAUGAAUAAUGUUUUUAUCAUCUUAACUUGUUCUGAUAGGUGAUAUUUUCUUUUGUUUUUUUAGUAUUUUGAGUUGACAACUUUCAAGUAUGAAAUUCCAUUGUGGAAAUUCAUCUUUUAUACAUUUUGAGGUUGCCAAAGGUGACUUCACAUUAAAACCUUCUGUGUAAAUAUAUAAUGUUAAUGCCUAUGGACAUUUGGGUAAUACCCUGUAUAGUCUUUUACUUUGGAGUGAAUCUUAGAAAAUUUAUUAAUACCAAGAAUUUUUAAUUUUUUUUUCCUUCUUUAAAAAUUGUAUCUGGGUUUUAAAUAAGCCACCUUAACUGUGCCUAAUUUGUCCCAAAUUUUAUUUAGUUAAAGAUAGCCACUGACUCAUUAAUUUUUUUGGUAAAUAUUAGAUAUUUCAAAGGCAACAUAGUUCUGUAUGAUUUUUUAUUGCCACUUUUAAGUUAUAAUUAUCACUUAAAAUACCAUGUCCCAAAACUCCAAAAUUAUGUUCUACAAUCAUUCUAAUUUAUAAACCAUUUUGAGUUGUGGUUGCUGAGCUCAGGGUCAUAUUUAUACUCUCCUCUGUUCACCCCAGAUAGAUAAUUAUUUGGGAUGUACCUAGGGUUCUUGUCAUCAUGUUUCUUUGUGCCAUAUUUUUAUCCUUAGGUUUCACCUUGCAUUUUUUUCCAGUAAUUUCGCUUAAGGAUUUCUACCAAACGAUGACUCUCUUAAAUCCCCUCAAAUUUACUGAGCUGAUCAUUAUUUUGCUUUUGACUUACAUAAAUGUGAAUUUUUUAAUGAGUACCACCAAAUGUUUAUUUAAACACGAGCUUUGAUUAAAUGUUCUUUUGCCCUUGGAAGUACUAGGUAUCUGGCAAACAAAUAUCUUAACUAAAUCUGGUACACCCCUCCCCAAAAAAAAUGUGUGUGCAGGAGAGGCCUAUGGAAAGUCAACAUCAAUUGCUUCAUUAGGAUAAUGUUCAAAAAGUGGCUCAAAAGUGAUUUAAAGAUUGUGAAGGGAAAAUUCACUGAGGAAUGCCUUCUCCAUAAAUGGCCCUUGAUAAAAUCCCCUUAAGUGAAGUGCCUUGCUGUCUCUGUGGCAGAAGUCAAGCAUUGACUCUCUGAAUUUAUUAUAUGCAUGUUGGUGGACAACCAACUGAACUUGUCAGCCCCCAAAGAACAGGAUUCUUCUGCAUAGAUAAAGCCUAGAAAUGAGAAAAACGAUACCCUCUGCUGAAUCUUUCAUCCAUUGUUUUAUUGGAAUUGGGGAUUAAAAUCUCUGCUGAGUCUUAACACUGAUAGAGAAUAAAUGCUCUGAUCAAAAUUCUUCAGGUAGAAAAAUCAAAUCUAAGUCAUUAACGAACUUGAACAGCAGUCUUUAGAAUUUAAAAAUUUAAGACAGCAGAAGUUGAAGUUAGAAAAUAUCAUUAAAGUUGUUACCAAAACUAGCAUUUUGUUGUACUUUAAAUUUGUUUCUUUGAGAAAUAGUGAUGAAGCCUGGUAAAAAGUUGGCUCUGCGGUGCAGAUUGACUCUGUCUAGAAAGAGUCGACUGGAGAUGGGUGAAAAACCUAUAUGGGUGCUUUGGAAUUUUCCUUUUUGAUAAAUGUCUGACAUAUGUAUUUCAUUGGAUUGCUAUGCUUGUAUGAAAUGAAAACAAAUGUAAACGCUUAUGUAGACAGCUUGACAUGCAAGUAUGCAAGUUCAGGUGUGUUGACUAAAGUCAGUUGAUUUAAAGUAACCAUUUUAUCUAAGAUAAUUAAAGUCUAAGAAUUUGUAGAACUAGUUUUCUAAUAAUGAUUUCCAGAUUUUAAAAUAUUGCUACUAUCAUUAUUUAGCCCUACUUUUGCAUGUUAAAAUACUCCUGAAUACAGUUAUGGACUAAUUAGAUUGGACUUAGCCUUAUACCAUGGAGAUACAGGCUUUAACUAUUCAGUGGUUUCCAGUGGACAGAGAUGAUGAAGAAUGCCUUGUGAACAGCCUAAUCCCAGAACAUACUCCUUCCUUGCUGUUUUUUGUGUGGAAACUUGAGACCACCAAAUGUAUCAGUCCUGUCCAACUCUCCUGAAUGGGGGUAAACUUUGCAUAUAUCUAGCCAAAAAGGGGAUCCACCAAAAUAUGACUAUACCAAACUUGUUUAGCUUCCAAAUUAAAUUAUACUAGUAAACUGUUCAGAUGAUAACUGCCCUUUAGUAGAUAUGCUGCCAACUAGAUUCAUGAAUGUAUCAUUUGCAGUGCUUGCAUUGGUUAAAAUCUAGGAUUUUAAGAUCCUACAGUGUACUAAAGCAUUUCAAUAAAAUCCUGCUGACUAAAAUAAUAAUAAUAAUAAAAAUUCCAUUUUGAACACCAG